RNAcentral lists this small RNA (348 nucleotides) under Histoplasma ohiense. RNAcentral describes it as "hypothetical lncRNA". The record is from RNAcentral. Lineage: Eukaryota; Fungi; Ascomycota; Eurotiomycetes; Onygenales; Ajellomycetaceae.
UAAUAUUUGUUGGAUAUUCCGCCAUUUUUAUACAGGCAACCCCUGCUUCUAUGCACAGUACAUCGUACCAUGUAGCAGGCGGAUCCUGUCCACGGUCCCCAGAAAGUUGGUGAUGCGAUGCUGAUGAUAUUGAUUUGGAUUUGACCCUUUGGGAGAUUUUUUUCUUCCUGACAACCCAUUCCAAAACGUAUAGGCUUGUUUUGGCACCUUUCAUUGCUGUCAUUAUUCCUUAUUGUUCUUCUUCUUCUUCUUCUUCUUCUUCUUCUUCUUCUUCUUCUUCUUCUUCUUCACCUUUACUUGUCUCUUAGGGACCUUCCUUGAGUUGAAUUCAGAUCUUUUGAUGCCCUG